This 497-nucleotide ribosomal RNA is filed under the name uncultured bacterium. RNAcentral describes it as "partial 16S ribosomal RNA". It matches the Rfam family "Bacterial small subunit ribosomal RNA", at positions 28 to 507 of the family's 1533-position model. The record is from RNAcentral.
GAUGAACGCUGGCGGCGUGCCUAAUACAUGCAAGUCGAGCGAACAGACGAGGAGCUUGCUCCUCUGAUGUUAGCGGCGGACGGGUGAGUAACACGUGGAUAACCUACCUAUAAGACUGGGAUAACUUCGGGAAACCGGAGCUAAUACCGGAUAACAUGUUGAACCGCAUGGUUCAACAGUGAAAGACGGUCUUGCUGUCACUUAUAGAUGGAUCCGCGCCGCAUUAGCUAGUUGGUAAGGUAACGGCUUACCAAGGCAACGAUGCGUAGCCGACCUGAGAGGGUGAUCGGCCACACUGGAACUGAGACACGGUCCAGACUCCUACGGGAGGCAGCAUUAGGGAAUCUUCCGCAAUGGGCGAAAGCCUGACGGAGCAACGCCGCGUGAGUGAAGAAGGUCUUCGGAUCGUAAAACUCUGUUAUUAGGGAAGAACAAAUGUGUAAGUAACUAUGCACGUCUUGACGGUACCUAAUCAGAAAGCCACGGCUAACUACGUG